CUGCUAUGACAGGGCACCACUGAGUUCAAUGCAAUGUCUCACAGUUGCUGUACUCUCCCUCUCCCAGGCUCAGAAAUUCUCCCUCUGAGCCAGGUGGUCACUGCUGGGAAAUGGGGGAGGGGUGGUGUCAGUGAUUCAAGAGUCUCUCUGGCCCUCCUCAGUGCCUCUUUGAGCUACAUGAAGCUAAAACCAGUGCUUGGAAAUGGGGACCCAUCGCACUUCAUCCUCAUGAAGCUUACGACCAGCGUGGAAGUCAAUCAAACAGCUACACUAAGGUGGAGUGUGGAUGAUUGAGGAAGUACUGGAGACUCCUGGAACAAAGCAGGCUCCUAACAUCCAUUCCACGUGGUCAGGGAAAGCUUCCCAGAGGAAGCAAAGCACAAGCAAGAUCUGAGGAUGAAGAUGAGUUGGUCAAGCGCAGAAGAGGAGUUCAGGAAAAAAGAUGCAGCCUUUGCAAAGGGUCAGAGGCAAAACAGUAACUAACAUACAUCCACCAAGGAACUAGAAAAAGUUCUUCAUGGUCACUUGACACACAUGUACUUUUCUAUCCUCAUCUUGACUAUUUUCCAUCUUCAAAGGAGCAUAAUGUGAGGAAAGAGCCCCAGAUUUGGAGCCAGACAGGUUCAAAUUAACAUUUUUGUUCUGCCACUUGCAGUCUUAGACAAGUUGCCCAUCCUCCCUAAGCUUCAGGCUUAUUUUCGGCAAUAUAAUAAUAACAUCUAAAUUGAGCCGUUCUCAUUAAGAUGUCUACGAUUUGGCCAGGCAUGAUGGCUCAUGCCUGUAAUCCCAACAUUUUGGGAGGCUGAGACAGGCAGAUCACUUGAGGUCAGGAAUUUGAGACCAGCCUGGCCAACAAGGCAAAACCCCAUCUCUACUAAAAAUACAAAAAUUAGCCCGGCAUGAUGGUGCGCACCUGUAAUCUCAGCCAUUUGGGAGGCUGAAGCAGGAGAAUUGCUUGAACCCGGGAGGCAGAUGUUGCAGUGAACUGAGAUCGCGCCCCUGCACUCCAGCCUGGGCAACAGAGCGAGACUCCAUCUCAAAAAAAUAAAAUAAAAUAAAAUGUCGAUUAUUUCAUUUACAAAAAUGGCUUGUACAGAGAGACUCAAUAAAUGAUGGUUUGUCUUCCUGGUAAAUAAGUAUAUAUAUAUGACCUCUGCCCCAAGCAUUUUGUAAAAAUUUGAAGUGUUUCUUGUGUUCAUGAUUUUAUGGAUUCAUGGAAUCUGCUUUUUAUUUAACCUAAUACUGUUUUUACCAACUGUGUAAUUUGAAUGCAGAACUGGAAGAGACUGCAGAGAAUCAUCUGCAGCUUCCCCAAGGGGGGGUCUUGAUGACUGUCAUUUGAGGAAGGAAAAUUCUUCACUGGGCAAGAUCAUCUUGUGCAUUGUAGGAUGUUUUCUAACCCAGACUGGCAACCAGUGAAUGUCAGGAAUAUCCCAAGUGAAUGUGACAAAUAAAAAUGCCCCUACAGUUUUC
RNAcentral lists this long non-coding RNA (1473 nucleotides) under Homo sapiens (human). RNAcentral's name for it is "HSALNT0246821". The record is from RNAcentral. Lineage: Eukaryota; Metazoa; Chordata; Mammalia; Primates; Hominidae.